RNAcentral lists this transfer RNA (68 nucleotides) under Comatella nigra. RNAcentral's name for it is "tRNA-Thr". It matches the Rfam family "tRNA". Rfam says of the family: Transfer RNA (tRNA) molecules are approximately 80 nucleotides in length. Lineage: Eukaryota; Metazoa; Echinodermata; Crinoidea; Comatulida; Comatulidae. The record is from RNAcentral.
GUUUUGCAAGUUUUUUAAAAUAUCAAUCUUGUAAAUUGAAGAGCAAGGUUUAAUUCCUUGGCAAAACC